UAAGGAAUAUUGGACAAUGCCCGCAAGGGUGAUCCAGCCAUGCCGCGUGCAGGAAGACGGUCCUAUGGAUUGUAAACUGCUUUUACACCGGAGAAAACCCCCUCUUGCGAGAGGGGCUGAUAGUAUGGUGAGAAUAAGCAUCGGCUAACUUCGUGCCAGCAGCCGCGGUAAGACGAAGGAUGCAAGCGUUAUCCGGAUUCAUUGGGUUUAAAGGGAGCGUAGGCGGUCUUGUAAGUCAGUGGUGAAAUCUAUGGGCUUAACCCAUAAAUUGCCAUUGAUACUGCAGGACUUGAGUACAGAUGCCGUUGGCGGAAUAUGACAUGUAGUGGUGAAAUACAUAGAGAUGUCAUAGAACACCGAUUGCGAAGGCAGCUGACGAAACUGUAACUGACGCUGAGGCUCGAAAGUGUGGGGAUCAAACAGGAUUAGAUACCCGCGUAGUCC
RNAcentral lists this ribosomal RNA (444 nucleotides) under uncultured bacterium. RNAcentral's name for it is "bacterial SSU rRNA". It matches the Rfam family "Bacterial small subunit ribosomal RNA", at positions 355 to 796 of the family's 1533-position model. The record is from RNAcentral.